RNAcentral lists this microRNA precursor (85 nucleotides) under Mus pahari (shrew mouse). RNAcentral describes it as "microRNA 1231 (MGP_PahariEiJ_G0007504.1)". It matches the Rfam family "mir-1231 microRNA precursor family". The record is from RNAcentral. Lineage: Eukaryota; Metazoa; Chordata; Mammalia; Rodentia; Muridae.
UCUGGGCAGAGCUGCAGAAGAGGAAGGCAGGCAGGGCUGGACAUCUCUGCCACCCUGCCACCUGCCCUGUCUGUUCUGCCCACAG